GGUGGCUCAGUGGUAGGGCGCUUGCCUUGCAUGCAUGAGGCCUUGCAUGCAUGAGGCCCUAGGUUCGAUUCCCUAGCACCA
Non-coding RNA from Dipodomys ordii (Ord's kangaroo rat), 81 nucleotides. NCBI's taxonomy places the organism in Eukaryota, Metazoa, Chordata, Mammalia, Rodentia, Heteromyidae. The record is from Rfam.